Molecule: ribosomal RNA, 332 nt
Filed under: uncultured bacterium
Lineage: Bacteria
Description: bacterial SSU rRNA
Rfam family: Bacterial small subunit ribosomal RNA
Source: RNAcentral
GAACGAGAAUCUGAGAGUCCAAGUUUUCGGACAAGGACUUUUGGAGGACAGUGGCGGAAGGGUGAGUACAACAUGGGUAAUCUAUCUUCAAGUUGGGUAUAGCUCCUCGAAAGGGGAGAUAAUCCCGAAUGUGGUGAUCCGGCGCAUGUCGGAGGAUCCAAAGGCGGGGACCGCAAGGCCUGUCGCUUGAAGCCGAGCCCGUGCACUAUCAGCUAGUUGGUGGGGUAACGGCCCACCAAGGCUAUGACGGUUAGCUGGUCUGAGAGGAUGGUCAGCCACACUGGGACUGAGAUACUGCCCAGACUCCUACGGGAGGCUGCAGUCGAGAAUCA